AUGGCAAGGAGAAAGAAUGAAACCAGUUUGCCACAUGCUCUAAAAUUGUCUCUCUCUCUUUGUCACAUCUUCCACUUUUUAAUUAUUCUCUCCAGGCAUUCAAAUGAAAAGGCAGAAAGGCAAUUAAGUAAUCUGUGCAUAGGUGCUGCUGCCGUCUCCAGAAGAAAAAAAUUAAUGCUUGAUCAGAAUAAGAAAUUUAUUAAACUCUGGCUAAUGAUACUCUCCUUCAACCCAAGCACUGCUGCUGGAAUAGAAUAUUUAAAAUCUUCCUGUCUCCUGGAAAGUCCAUGGAGUUGGAGGCAGUAUGGCAGAAACCUCGGCCAGCUGUAUCCUACAUCAAGAGGAGCGACAGGUCUUGCUUGUCCCACACUACUUAGAGUUUGGAGAUUCCCAAAGUGCAGAGCAGCAAGAGGAAGAGUUGGCAUGAACAGCUCUUAACAAGUAAG
Molecule: long non-coding RNA, 446 nt
Filed under: Cyanistes caeruleus (blue tit)
Lineage: Eukaryota; Metazoa; Chordata; Aves; Passeriformes; Paridae
Description: lncRNA (ENSCCEG00000019633.1)
Source: RNAcentral